UUUUUAAAUUAACUGAACAUUUACACAAAAGAGACAGGGGUUUAAAACUAAACAGAUAGUGGAAACAGUUUAACUUUCAACAACAGUGUACAUGUUGAGAGCAAAUAUAGACUAGUAGAGAAAAUUGCCUUUUUGCACAUCUGGGUUGAUAUUAUAAGAUUUAAGCAACUAUAAUAUAAAAUUCUAUACACAUAGGCAGUGAGAAAAAACUUUUAUGGUCUGAAACAAUUUUCAUGCUAUAUGUCAUAAUAGAAGGUCUUCUAGAAUCCAUGUAUGCCCAACAAAAGCCACUGAAGGGAAGCUUACCAGAGUGCCAUCGAGUUCCUUCCCCUAAGGAUCAGACUUCCAGACUCAAGUGUCAUUUGACCUGGUAUCCAGCUUAAUACAGCCUCUGCUUUUGAAUAGAUUUCCUUACAAGUGGCAAUCUCUAAUAGGGUCAUGUCGAGAGGCAACCCGACUGCAUACUACCUACUGCACGUUAACGUGAUGAAGGUCUCUCCUGAGCACACGGCUUCAUAAACCAGCUGCACAAGCAACUGCAUCUGGGGAUCUGCUUCAAGAGAAACUUAACUAAAGCAAGAAUGGGCUCUAACUUCAGGAUACCUAGGAUUCUAACCUCGUUCCAUUACUUACCAACGAUAUGACCUGGGAAAAAUUAUAUACCUGCUGCACAUCACUGGGGCAAUUUACUGUAGGCAUGCGGCUUUAACAACAACAAAAUGUAAAAAGAGAAGUCACCUAUGGAUGGAUUAAAAAUUACGGUGUG
Molecule: long non-coding RNA, 766 nt
Filed under: Homo sapiens (human)
Lineage: Eukaryota; Metazoa; Chordata; Mammalia; Primates; Hominidae
Description: HSALNT0352978
Source: RNAcentral